This 1571-nucleotide long non-coding RNA is filed under the name Medicago truncatula (barrel medic). Its description in RNAcentral is "long non-coding RNA (MTRU_LNC004784)". The record is from RNAcentral. Lineage: Eukaryota; Viridiplantae; Streptophyta; Magnoliopsida; Fabales; Fabaceae.
GUGCAAAAGACUAGUUCUCUUCUCCUACAUCCUACCUAAUCAUUUGCUAUAAAUAGAGACUCUUGCACUCAUUAUUAUUCAUUUAGAACACUGACGGUUCAAGACAAAGGUCAAACAUUAGAGCUUCAAGGCAAGAUUUCUUCCUUCUCUUGUUCUCUCUAGGGUAUAUUUUUGUAAUAUUUUAUUAUAAUGUAUGUUGCCAUGAGCAACUAAACCUCUUGAUAAGGGUUCCAAGAUGAACCCAUUCAUUCUUAUUUGUUGGAUAUUAUUAAUAAAGUUUUCAUUCAGUUUAUGUUUUUGUUGUGCCCGAUUUAAAUUAGAUCAUGCAUGUUCAUAAUGCUUUUUUCAAUUGGUUAAUUUAAUUGUAAUCUUGAAGAAUGAUCUGUAGGAUAAAAGCAGCCAUUGACAACCCAAAAUUAUAUCAGUUCCAUUGCCUUUUCUAAUUACCAUUUCUUUUAGAGAUUAAGAAAUUCGGGUUUGAAUUCCGGUAGUUUAAAACCCCCUUCUUUGGACAACGUCGUACAUAACCUAGGUUAGUCCAACAAUAGUUGUUGUGAGAAGCUUGAUAAGUGCUCAAAAGUAACAUAUUUCAUGUGUUAACUUAGGAAAAUUAGUGACUUGUUUUGCAAGUUAUCUAAGGAAAAGCUACCAUUUGAGUGUAAUAUUACCAUUUAUGCUUUACAUGCCUGAUUCUACCCAAUUUAUGCAGGAAAUGACAAGCAAGGACCAAAAGAAGGAAGCUCCUGAACCAAGGUCUGUUCGCUUAAGCGAACCAGUUACAGAGAGCAACCGUUCUAUUCGCUUACAAGCACGCCUUCAGUUCGCUCAUGAAAGCUUCCUGAGAAUUUCAUCCGCUUGUUUCAUUAAAUCAUAAGUAGCACACAUAACUGUUUAUUUCUUAAAGUUUAAUUCCAACAAAGAGGAAGCAGGGAUUCAAAGGAUUCCCUACUCACCAUUAAUUAUCUCAACGAGAAACCUAAUCUUGCAUUUGGUAGGGUAAUUCAACCUUGCAACUCAUUUCAAUUUUACUCUACUUUCACCCUUUAAAAUAAGUUUUAUUAAUUACUGAAGUGAAUGACAAUUCCUCUGAAGAACGAUAAACUUGCUACUUUAUUACUUGUUACGAUUUGGUGCACUUGUCAAUUUCAUCCAUCAAUUACUAAUUUGAAGAAUGAUUUGAAAGUGCUCUCAUAUGCGGACACAUUAACAAGGACGAGUAAACUAGGGAUGGCGAGCAAAACUCUUCAAGGUAUGAAGGAAUCUAGGAAAGCAUCGGUAGAAGCUAACAUAGAGGCUUUGGAGCAACUUGCAGAGGUACGACAUUAGAUGGAUCUGCUGGAUCUCAGAUGCAAUCCUCAGAGGCAGUUUCCUGCUACAAUACCACCAACAAUUGUUGAUGUUGUCCCAUAGAUCAAUGAGUUUUUUCCAUUGGAUAAGAAUUCUUACUAUGUAUUGCUUGCUCUUGAACAUCUGAUCAUCAAUAAAGUUGUUUUGUAACCAUCUUCUUCAUUGUCUGCAUAUGAUUUUGAGGCUUUUAAAGAAAAUAUCAUAAUUGAGUUGGCUGCUCAAAG